Long non-coding RNA from Oncorhynchus nerka (sockeye salmon), 344 nucleotides. RefSeq lists it as uncharacterized. The record is from RefSeq and is a predicted model, not a curated record. NCBI's taxonomy places the organism in Eukaryota, Metazoa, Chordata, Actinopteri, Salmoniformes, Salmonidae. The transcript is spliced from 3 exons.
CUCUGUAUCAGUCUGUCUCUCUCUCUCUCUCUCUCUCUCUCCAGAGGUAUCAGUCUCUCUCCAGAGGUAUCAGUCUCUCUCUCUCUCUCUCUCUCCAGAGGUAUCAGUCUCUCUCUCUCCUCUCUCUCCAGAGGUAUCAGUCUCUCUCUCUCUCUCCAGAGGUAUCAGUCUCUCUCUCUCUCUCCAGAGUUAUCAGUCUCUCUCUCUCUCUCCAGAGGUAUCAGUCUCUCUCUCUCUCCAGAGGUAUCAGUCUCUCUCCAGAGUUAUCAGUCUCUCUCUCUCUCUCUCUCUCCAGAGUUAUCAGUCUCUCUCUCUUAUCAGUCUCUCUCUCUCUCCAGAGUUAU